AACUGAUACUACCUGCGGGAACCUGCGGAGGGAUCAUUACAGAGUUGUAAAACUCCCAAACCCAUGUGAACAUACCUCUGUUGCCUCGGUGGCCUACCCGGUAGCUACCCUGUAGUUACCCUGUAGACUGCCGGCGGACUUUAGAAACUCUUGUUUUUAGUGUAUCUCUGAGAACAACUUCAAAUAAGUUAAAACUUUUAACAACGGAUCUCU
This 213-nucleotide unclassified non-coding RNA is filed under the name soil metagenome. RNAcentral describes it as "partial contains 5.8S ribosomal RNA, internal transcribed spacer 2, and large subunit ribosomal RNA". The record is from RNAcentral.